RNAcentral lists this ribosomal RNA (396 nucleotides) under uncultured bacterium. Its description in RNAcentral is "partial 16S ribosomal RNA". It matches the Rfam family "Bacterial small subunit ribosomal RNA", at positions 360 to 774 of the family's 1533-position model. The record is from RNAcentral.
AAUAUUGCACAAUGGAGGAAACUCUGAUGCAGCGACGCCGCGUGAAUGACGAAGGCCUUCGGGUCGUACAAUCCUGUCCUUGGGGACGAUAAUGACGGUACCCAAGGAGGAAGCCCCGGCUAACUACGUGCCAGCAGCCGCGGUAAUACGUAGGGGGCGAGCGUUGUCCGGAAUUAUUGGGCGUAAAGGGUGCGUAGGCGGCCUUUUAAGUCAGAUGUGAAAGGCUACGGCUUAACCGUAGUUAGCAUUUGAAACUAAAAGGCUUGAGUGCAGGAGAGGAGAGUGGAAUUCCUAGUGUAGCGGUGAAAUGCGUAGAUAUUAGGAGGAACACCAGUGGCGAAGGCGACUACCUGGACGAAAACUGACGCUGAGGCACGAAAGCUAGGGGAGCAAACA